This 680-nucleotide ribosomal RNA is filed under the name uncultured Bacteroidales bacterium. RNAcentral describes it as "bacterial SSU rRNA". It matches the Rfam family "Bacterial small subunit ribosomal RNA", at positions 66 to 737 of the family's 1533-position model. The record is from RNAcentral. Lineage: Bacteria; Pseudomonadati; Bacteroidota; Bacteroidia; Bacteroidales.
CAGCAUGGUCUUAGCUUGCUAAGGCUGAUGGCGACCGGCGCACGGGUGAGUAACACGUAUCCAACCUGCCGUCUACUCUUGGCCAGCCUUCUGAAAGGAAGAUUAAUCCAGGAUGGGAUCAUGAGUUCACAUGUCCGCAUGAUUAAAGGUAUUUUCCGGUAGACGAUGGGGAUGCGUUCCAUUAGAUAGUAGGCGGGGUAACGGCCCACCUAGUCAACGAUGGAUAGGGGUUCUGAGAGGAAGGUCCCCCACAUUGGAACUGAGACACGGUCCAAACUCCUACGGGAGGCAGCAGUGAGGAAUAUUGGUCAAUGGGCGAUGGCCUGAACCAGCCAAGUAGCGUGAAGGAUGACUGCCCUAUGGGUUGUAAACUUCUUUUAUAAAGGAAUAAAGUCGGGUAUGCAUACCCGUUUGCAUGUACUUUAUGAAUAAGGAUCGGCUAACUCCGUGCCAGCAGCCGCGGUAAUACGGAGGAUCCGAGCGUUAUCCGGAUUUAUUGGGUUUAAAGGGAGCGUAGAUGGAUGUUUAAGUCAGUUGUGAAAGUUUGCGGCUCAACCGUAAAAUUGCAGUUGAUACUGGAUGUCUUGAGUGCAGUUGAGGCAGGCGGAAUUCGUGGUGUAGCGGUGAAAUGCUUAGAUAUCACGAAGAACUCCGAUUGCGAAGGCAGCCUGCUAAGCUGC